GAUCAGCCACACUGGAACUGAGACACGGUCCAGACUCCUACGGGAGGCAGCAGUGGGGAAUAUUGCACAAUGGAGGGAACUCUGAUGCAGCAACGCCGCGUGGAGGAUGACGCAUUUCGGUGUGUAAACUCCUUUUAUAUAGGAAGAUAAUGACGGUACUAUAUGAAUAAGCACCGGCUAACUCCGUGCCAGCAGCCGCGGUAAUACGGAGGGUGCAAGCGUUACUCGGAAUCACUGGGCGUAAAGCGCAUGCAGGCGGUUAAAUAAGUUAGAAGUGAAAUCCUACAGCUCAACUGUAGAACUGCUUCUAAAACUGUUUAACUAGAGUCUGGGAGGGGAAGAUGGAAUUAGUAGUGUAGGGGUAAAAUCCGUAGAGAUUACUAGGAAUACCAAAAGCGAAGGCGAUCUUCUGGAACAGUACUGACGCUGAGAUGCGAAAGCGUGGGGAGCAAACAGGGUUAGAUACCCUGGUAGUCCACGCAGUAAACGAUGAGUGUUAGUCGUUGGUGUCCUAGAGACAUCAGUGAUGCAGUUAACACAUUAAACAUUCCGCCUGGGGAGUACGGUCGCAAGAUUAAAACUCAAAGGAAUAGACGGGGACCCGCACAAGUGGUGGAGCAUGUGGUUUAAUUCGAAAAUACGCGAAGAACCUUACCUAGCCUUGACAUAUUUUAGAAUUCACCAGAGAUGGAGAAGUGCCUUCGGGAGCUAAUAUACAGGUGCUGCACGGCUGUCGUCAGCUCGUGUCGUGAGAUGUUGGGUUAAGUCCCGCAACGAGCGCAACCCUCGUCACUAGUUACUAACGAUUCGGUCGAGGACUCUAGUGAGACUGCCUUCGCAAGGAGGAGGAAGGUGAGGACGACGUCAAGUCAUCAUGGCCCUUACGGCUAGGGCAACACACGUGCUACAAUGGUUAGGACAAUGAGAAGCAAUAUCGCGAGGUGGAGCAAAUCUAUAAACCUAAUCUCAGUUCGGAUUGUAGUCUGCAACUCGACUACAUGAAGCUGGAAUCACUAGUAAUCGUAGAUCAGCUAUGCUACGGUGAAUACGUUCCCGGGUCUUGUACUCACCGCCCGUCACACCAUGGGAGUUGAUUUCACCCGAAGCGGGGAAGCUAAACUGGCUACCCUCCACGGUGGAAUUAGCGACUGGGGUGAAGUCGUAACAAGGUAACCGUAGGAGAACCUGCGGUUG
Molecule: ribosomal RNA, 1194 nt
Filed under: metagenome
Description: bacterial SSU rRNA
Rfam family: Bacterial small subunit ribosomal RNA
Source: RNAcentral